RNAcentral lists this ribosomal RNA (413 nucleotides) under uncultured bacterium. RNAcentral describes it as "bacterial SSU rRNA". It matches the Rfam family "Bacterial small subunit ribosomal RNA", at positions 335 to 737 of the family's 1533-position model. The record is from RNAcentral.
ACUCCUACGGGAGGCAGCAGUGGGGAAUAUUGGACAAUGGGGGAACCCUGAUCCAGCCAUGCCGCGUGGUGUGAAGAAGGCCUUAUGGUUGUAAAGCACUUUAAGCGAGGAGGAGGCUACUGAGACUAAUACUCUUCGGAUAGUGGACGUUACUCGCAGAAUAAGCACCGGCUAACUCUGUGCCAGCAGCCGCGGUAAUACAGAGGGUGCGAGCGUUAAUCGGAUUUACUGGGCGUAAAGCGUGCGUAGGCGGCUUUUUAAGCGGAUGUGAAACUCCCCGAGCUUAACUUGGGAAUUGCAUUCGGAUACUGGGAAGCUAGAGUAUGGAGAGGAUGGUAGAAUUCCAGGUGUAGCGGUGAAAUGCGUAGAGAUCGUGGAGGAAUACCGAUGGCGAAGGCAGCCAUCUGGCCUAA